RNAcentral lists this ribosomal RNA (489 nucleotides) under Daphnia occidentalis. Its description in RNAcentral is "partial 16S ribosomal RNA". It matches the Rfam family "Bacterial large subunit ribosomal RNA", at positions 1833 to 2589 of the family's 2925-position model. Lineage: Eukaryota; Metazoa; Arthropoda; Branchiopoda; Diplostraca; Daphniidae. The record is from RNAcentral.
CUCCUUUUGACAAUAAAAGGUACCGCCUGCUCAAUGCAUAUGUAAAUGGCCGCAGUAUUCUGACUGUGCUAAGGUAGCAUAAUCAUUAGUCUUUUAAUUGGAGGCUGGUAUGAAUGGCGAGACGAGAAAAUUACUGUCUCUAAAAUAAAAAUUGAAUUUUAUUUUUAAGUGAAAAAGCUUAAAUGAAUUCGAAGGACGAUCAGACCCUCUGGAGCUUUAUUAGUUUAUUUUUAUGACCUAUUUUUAAAUAGUUUUAUGAGUAAAUAAAUUUUGUUGGGGCGACAAAGAGUUAAAAAUAACACUCUUUUAAAAAAACAAUUGUAAGUGGAAAACUGAUCCUUAGAGAGAGAUUAUAAGACUUAGUUACCCUAGGGAUAACAGCGUAAUCUUUUUGGAGAGUUCUAAUCGAUAAAAAGGUUUGCGACCUCGAUGUUGGAUUAAGAAAUUAGCAAGGUGCAGAAGUUUUGCUGGAAAGUGCUGUUCGACUUU